AUGCUGUGGAAUAGCUCCGUGACGCCCGUGGGAGCCGUGGUGAAGGACGACAUGGACCUGUGGCAGCGGCAGCCGCUGGAGACGGUCUAUCGCCUCAACGUCGGAGGGCCCAAGGUGACCAUUGAGAACGACACGCUGUGGCGGACGUGGCUGCCCGACGGUCCCUACCUCUACGACGCCUCCGGGCUGUCGGUGGUGAGCAACACCUCCAACCCGAUCAUCUACGAUUCAUCGAACGGAUACACGAGGGAGGUGGCGCCAGAUGUCGUGUACCAGACCCAGCGCAUGGCGAACGUGACGGACUUACUGGCGGCGACAACCCCGGGCCUGAACUUCAACCUCACGUGGACGUUCCCGGCGGUGAAGGGGUCCCACUACCUCGUCCGCCUCCACUUCUGCGACUACGAGGUGGUCAGCUCCGUCGUCGGCGUUGGCAUCGUCUUCAACGUCUACAUCGCGCAGACCAUUGGCACUCCAGACCUCACGCCGAAUGCUCGGGCGACUCAGUCGAACGAGGUCUUUUACAUGGACUACGCGGCCAGGGCGCCGAGCACCGGGAACCUCACGGUGAGCAUCGGCUGGUCGUCGAAAAGGAGCGGAGGUGGGAUACUGAACGGGCUAGAGAUUAUGAGGCUGCCGCCCGUUGAUUUGAGCUCGAGGAGGUACGGCAGGACGAAGAGGACCAUUGUCAUUACGGUGUCGGCAGUGCUCGGCGCCGCCGUUCUUGCUUGCGUGGUGCUCUGCUUUUUCGGCGUGCCGUAUACGAAGUACAGCGGCUCCGGCUGGGCUGAGCAGUUCACGAACCGAUGGUCCAGAGAGGGCAAGACCAGCGGGUUGCAGAGUGUGAGCACGAAGCUGCACAUCGCUCUCGCGAAGAUCAAGGCCGCCACGGACAACUUCCACGAGCGCAACCUCAUCGGCGUGGGCGGGUUCGGGAACGUGUACAAGGGCGUGCUCGUUGACGGCACGCCAGUGGCGGUGAAGCGCGCCAUGCGCGCCUCGCAGCAGGGGUUGCCGGAGUUCCAGACGGAGAUCGUGGUGCUGUCCGGCAUCCGGCACCGGCACCUGGUGUCGCUCAUUGGGUACUGCAACGAGCAGGCGGAGAUGAUACUGGUGUACGAAUACAUGGAGAAAGGCACGCUGCGGAGCCACCUGUACGGUUCCGACGAGCCGGCGUUGUCAUGGAAGCAGAGGCUGGAGAUCUGCAUCGGCGCGGCGAGGGGCCUGCACUACCUGCACAGAGGCUACGCGGAGAACAUCAUCCACCGUGACGUCAAGUCGACCAACAUCCUCCUCGGGAGCGACGGCGGCAGCACCGGUGGCGUGAUCGCCAAGGUGGCCGACUUCGGGCUGUCGCGCAUCGGGCCGUCGUUCGGGGAGACGCACGUGAGCACGGCGGUGAAGGGCAGCUUCGGGUACCUGGACCCGGGGUACUUCAAGACGCAGCAGCUGACGGACCGGUCGGACGUCUACUCCUUCGGCGUGGUGCUGUUGGAGGUGCUCUGCGCGCGACCUGUGAUCGACCAGAGCCUGGACCACGGCCGGAUCAACAUCGCCGAAUGGGCCGUGAGGAUGCGCAGGGAAGGGCGGCUCGACAAGAUGGCCGACCCGAGGAUCGCCGGCGAGGUGGACGAGGAGUCGCUGCUCAAGUUCGCAGAAACCGCUGAGAAGUGCCUGGCGGAGUGCUGGGUGGACCGGCCGUCCAUGGGCGACGUGCUGUGGAACCUGGAGUAUUGCCUACAGCUGCAGGAGACCAAUAUCACCGGGGACGGACUCGACGACAUGGUACCGUCGUCGACGAGCUUGUUGAUGGACGAGACCGACUUGAGCAUGACCAAUGUCGCCGACAGCAAGGUAUUCUCCCAGCUGAGCGCCCGCGGCGAGGGACGAUGA
Molecule: ribosomal RNA, 1893 nt
Filed under: Triticum aestivum (bread wheat)
Lineage: Eukaryota; Viridiplantae; Streptophyta; Magnoliopsida; Poales; Poaceae
Description: partial small subunit ribosomal RNA
Source: RNAcentral